This 253-nucleotide ribosomal RNA is filed under the name uncultured bacterium. RNAcentral describes it as "partial 16S ribosomal RNA". It matches the Rfam family "Bacterial small subunit ribosomal RNA", at positions 524 to 776 of the family's 1533-position model. The record is from RNAcentral.
UACAGAGGGGGCAAGCGUUGUUCGGAAUUACUGGGCGUAAAGGGCGCGUAGGCGGCCUGUUAAGUCGAACGUGAAAUCCCCGGGCUCAACCCGGGAACUGCGUCCGAUACUGGCAGGCUUGAAUUCGGGAGAGGGAUGCGGAAUUCCAGGUGUAGCGGUGAAAUGCGUAGAUAUCAGGAGGAACACCGGUGGCGAAGGCGGGUCUCUGGGCCGUAACUGACGCUGAGGAGCGAAAGCGUGGGGAGCAAACAGG